This is a non-coding RNA of Solea solea (common sole), 1488 nucleotides long. Lineage: Eukaryota; Metazoa; Chordata; Actinopteri; Pleuronectiformes; Soleidae. The record is from the annotation of a RefSeq genome assembly.
AUGACAUUCUCCCAAUCCUCUUCUGGAUCAUCCAUACAGUCUCUGGCAAACUUCAGACGGGCCUGGACACAAGCGGCAACACCACCGACUCUCUUCCCAUUGGUCGAGUGCCUUUCUGGGUCCAAAGAUACGCUCACAGUCGGCUGUCUUGCACACGGCUUCUCACCAAAGAGCAUAUCUUUCACGUGGAGUGACGCCAGUGGGGCGAGUCUGACUUCAGUACCAUAUCCUCCAACUCAGGCAAACAACAAAUACAUAGGAGUCAGUGUGGUCAAUGUGUCCAAAUCUGACUGGGAUUCGAGGAAGUCUUUUACAUGUUCAGUAACACAUGCUGGAUCUCCCCAAAGUCUGCAAGUACAAAGGCCUCUUCCUCCUUCCACUAAAGUGACUUUGCUCUCGGUGCCUAGUGAAGACACCCAGACUCUGGUCUGCACAGUCGAAGACAGUGUUAAAGGAACACUUCAAUCAUUUGAAUGGAAAAAGAGCAACGUAGAGCUGAACAACUACUUCCACAGUCCCAUCCAACAGGUUGGAAAGUUAUAUUCAGCUGUCAGUGUCCUGAAAGUCAAGAACACAGACUGGGACAGUGAAGCGGUUUAUAGCUGUAAGGUCACUUACAGAGGAACCACAUACAUUAAAAAGGCCUCGAAAGCUCUGAUCACAAUGACCCUGACACCACCGAGUCCCAAAAGAAUUUUCAAUAACAACAUAGCUGAGCUGGACUGUGUCGUCAAUGGACAAGACAAGGCCACAGUUGAUAAAACCGAAAUCACAUGGCAAAUCGAUGGCCAAAAUGUGACUGAUCGCAUUACUGAAGCAAGAAAGUCCGAAGGCAGACAACACAGCAAAAUCAGCACAAUGACUCGUAAUUACGCGGAGUGGCAGAAUGUCAACAACGUGCGCUGUUCUGCUCAUGGAGAAGAUAUGACUCCAGUCAUUCAAGAUCUGACUGUCCAAAAAGGAGAUGGAAGACAACCAAAAGUGACGGUGCACAUGCUUCCCGACGAAAGCAUCAACCAAGGAAACUCGGUGGAGGUCACCAUGAUGUGUCUGGUCUCCAGUCCAGUGCUGGCGGAUUACUACAUCACAUGGGCUGAUCAUGUGGGACAACAAUCUGGCAACUAUGUUGAUGGCAUCAACUUCCCCUUGCAGAAGACAAUGAAUGGCUACAUGGUAGCAAGUGUUUACACCACCACCAAGAAAAAGUGGGAACAGAAGACCAUUUUCUACUGCAAUGUCUGGCCCGCUGGCAGCAAUGAGUCCAUGAAGCCAGUGGGAGUGUCUAAGGAUAUGGAUUUGUCAUCAGAGUCAGAUCUGAAUUUGCCUCUGAGCUGCUCAGAAGACCACACUGAGGAGGAUGAAUUCAGCAGUCUGUGGUCCACAACCUGCUCCUUUAUAUUUCUCUUCAUAUCCUCUCUCUUCUAUAACAUGAUAUUCAGCUUGGUCAAGGUAAACAUGCAGGCUCUCCCUGAUUUUAGUAAGUUCUAA